GAAGUUGGAGUCGCUAGUAAUCGCAGAUCAGCAACGCUGCGGUGAAUACGUUCCCGGGCCUUGUACACACCGCCCGUCACGUCAUGAAAGUCGGUAACACCCGAAGCCGGUGGCCUAACCCCUUGUGGGAGGGAGCCGUCGAAGGUGGGAUCGGCGAUUGGGAUGAAGUCGUAACAAGGUAGCCGUACCGGAAGGUGCGGCUGGAUCACCUCCUUU
Molecule: ribosomal RNA, 216 nt
Filed under: Nocardia veterana
Lineage: Bacteria; Bacillati; Actinomycetota; Actinomycetes; Mycobacteriales; Nocardiaceae
Description: partial 16S ribosomal RNA
Rfam family: Bacterial small subunit ribosomal RNA
Source: RNAcentral